Molecule: ribosomal RNA, 426 nt
Filed under: uncultured bacterium
Lineage: Bacteria
Description: bacterial SSU rRNA
Rfam family: Bacterial small subunit ribosomal RNA
Source: RNAcentral
GCAGGGAAUCUUGCGCAAUGGGCGAAAGCCUGACGCAGCAACGCCGCGUGGGGGAUGAAGGCCUUCGGGUUGUAAACCCCUUUCAGGAGGGAAGAAAUUGACGGUACCUCCAAAAGAAGCCCCGGCCAACUACGUGCCAGCAGCCGCGGUAAUACGUAGGGGGCGAGCGUUGUCCGGAAUCAUUGGGCGUAAAGAGCUCGUAGGCGGUUCAGUAAGUCGGCUGUGAAAUUCCGAGGCUCAACCUCGGAACUGCAGUCGAAACUAUUGUGACUCGAGUCCGGUAGAGGAGAAUGGAAUUCCCGGUGUAGCGGUGAAAUGCGCAGAUAUCGGGAGGAACACCAGUAGCGAAGGCGGUUCUCUGGGCCGGUACUGACGCUGAGGAGCGAAAGCGUGGGUAGCAAACAGGAUUAGAUACCCGAGUAGUCC